This 252-nucleotide ribosomal RNA is filed under the name uncultured bacterium. RNAcentral's name for it is "partial 16S ribosomal RNA". It matches the Rfam family "Bacterial small subunit ribosomal RNA", at positions 524 to 776 of the family's 1533-position model. The record is from RNAcentral.
UACGAAGGUCGCAAGCGUUAUCCGGAAUUACUGGGCGUAAAGAGUCCGUAGCUGGUUUUAUAAGUCUGAUUUCAAAUCCCUUGUCUCAAGCAAGGAAAGGGGUCAGAUACUGUAUUUCUAGAGAUAACUGGGGGUUAGUGGAAUUGCCGGUGGAGGGGUGAAAUCCGUUGAUAUCGGUAGGAACGCCAAAAGCGAAAGCAACUAACUAUGGUUUUCUGACAGUCAAGGACGAAAGCUUGGGGAUCAAACGGG